Molecule: non-coding RNA, 949 nt
Filed under: Lateolabrax maculatus (spotted sea bass)
Lineage: Eukaryota; Metazoa; Chordata; Actinopteri; Acropomatiformes; Lateolabracidae
Description: 12S ribosomal RNA
Rfam family: Bacterial small subunit ribosomal RNA
Source: RNAcentral
CAAAAGCUUGGUCCUGACUUUACUAUCAACUCUAGCUAAACUUACACAUGCAAGUAUCCGCACCCCUGUGAGAAUGCCCUAUGGUUCCCCGCCCGGGAACAAGGAGCUGGUAUCAGGUACAACCAUGUUAGCCCACGACACCUUGCUUAGCCACACCCCCAAGGGAACUCAGCAGUGAUAAACAUUAAGCCAUGAGUGAAAACUUGACUUAGUCAAAGCUAAGAGGGCCGGUAAAACUCGUGCCAGCCACCGCGGUUAUACGAGGGGCCCAAGUUGAUAGACACCGGCGUAAAGGGUGGUUAGGAUAAAAUUGAAGACUAAAGCCGAACACCUUCAAGGCUGUUAUACGCACCCGAAAGUAAGAAGCUCAAUCACGAAAGUGGCUUUACCACAUUUGAACCUACGAAAGCUGGGGCACAAACUGGGAUUAGAUACCCCACUAUGCCUAGCUGUAAACAUUGAUAGUGUAGUACGACCACUAUCCGCCCGGGAACUACGAGCAUUAGCUUGAAACCCAAAGGACUUGGCGGUGCUUUAGAUCCACCUAGAGGAGCCUGUUCUAGAACCGAUAAUCCCCGUUCAACCUCACCCUUCCUUGUUCUUCCCGCCUAUAUACCGCCGUCGUCAGCUUACCCUGUGAAGGUCUAAUAGUAAGCAUAAUUGGCAAAGCCCAGAACGUCAGGUCGAGGUGUAGCGUAUGGAGGGGGAAGAAAUGGGCUACAUUCCCUGACACAGGGAAACACGGAUGACAUACUGAAAUGUAUGCCUGAAGGAGGAUUUAGUAGUAAGUGGGGAAUAGAGCGCCCCGCUGAAAUUGGCCGUGAAGCGCGCACACACCGCCCGUCACUCUCCCCAAGAUUACAAGUUUAUUAUAACUAAUACCCUAUUAAUAUAAAGGGGAGGCAAGUCGUAACAUGGUAAGUGUACCGGAAGGUGUACUUGGAGAAAU